RNAcentral lists this ribosomal RNA (57 nucleotides) under Olea europaea subsp. europaea. Its description in RNAcentral is "Bacterial large subunit ribosomal RNA". Lineage: Eukaryota; Viridiplantae; Streptophyta; Magnoliopsida; Lamiales; Oleaceae. The record is from Rfam by way of RNAcentral.
GACCGUAAUUAUAACAGUCCUAAAGUAGCGAAAUUCCUUGUCGGGUAAGUUCCAACC